UACGGAGGAUCCGAGCGUUAUCCGGAUUUAUUGGGUUUAAAGGGAGCGUAGGCGGAAGCUUAAGUCAGUUGUGAAAGUUUGCGGCUCAACCGUAAAAUUGCAGUUGAUACUGGGUUUCUUGAGUGCAGUAGAGGUAGGCGGAAUUCGUGGUGUAGCGGUGAAAUGCUUAGAUAUUAGGAGGAACACCAGUGGCGAAGGCGGCUCACUGGACUGUAACUGACGUUGAGGCUCGAAAGCGUGGGGAGCAAACAGG
This 253-nucleotide ribosomal RNA is filed under the name uncultured Bacteroides sp. Its description in RNAcentral is "partial 16S ribosomal RNA". It matches the Rfam family "Bacterial small subunit ribosomal RNA", at positions 524 to 776 of the family's 1533-position model. The record is from RNAcentral. Lineage: Bacteria; Pseudomonadati; Bacteroidota; Bacteroidia; Bacteroidales; Bacteroidaceae.